Long non-coding RNA from Pogoniulus pusillus (Red-fronted tinkerbird), 1325 nucleotides. RefSeq lists it as uncharacterized. Lineage: Eukaryota; Metazoa; Chordata; Aves; Piciformes; Lybiidae. The record is from RefSeq and is a predicted model, not a curated record. The transcript has 5 exons.
AAGCUGCUGUCUCGAGUCGUCAGUGCCCCGAUCUCGCCUCUCGCCAGCCUCCGUACCCCGACACUGGGACAAGCUGUCCAGAGAAGCUGUAGAGGCUUCAACCCUGGCAGUGUUGAAAACCAGGUGUCCUGCUGAGAAGACAAAAGGCCACAUGCAUGAGGAAUUAGUGAAGGUGUUCCUGGAGAUGGCUCACACAAAGAGGUUCUGGGCAGAUCUCAUCUUUGUGGCAAAGGUCAAAUAGGAAACAUCUUGAAAAGAGCUACCGAAGCAACAAGGGAAUGUGAAUCUUUGUGCUCUUCUGCUCUCAGCCAUGGAGCUACUGUACCUUAUGAAGAGUGAUGAUCCUGCUGUAAUGCGGAACUGCUGUUGAAGGAUAACACAAGGUACUGAAGCCUUGGGAAGGGAGGCUGGAUAUUCAACACACUGGAAGCCAUCCAGGAGGAUGUCUCCUGAGGCUAAUGCAAUUAUGAUUCCACUUGGGUUGGCUAUGUGAGCAGAAGGUACCAGCUAACUGUGAGAGCUGCUAGGCAAAGGUUGCAGUCCUAUGUCUGUAGAGCACUGUGCACCUUGGACUCUGAUUUUGUCAGUAAGUGAAGAGAGAAGUUAGAAAAGAGAGACAGUCCUGACAGUGAUGGAUCAGCAAGCAGGACAAGGGUUGGGAGUUCAACUACCCAGUGUUGGGCUCUGGCACAGAGAACAGCUGCAUGAGGACAUCCCUCUGCCGAGCAGCUCGCCGAAUCGAAGCCGUGAGGUAGUUUAUUUCCUGGAUUAUACAUGUAUUUAAUUAAAAUUCUAGCUAAAUAUUUGCAGCAAUAAGUUUUUGAAGUACUGCAAAGUUACACUGUAUUAAACAUUUAUUGCAGUCCUAUGAAAUAUUCCUCAGCUUAAAUAUUUACUGUUAUUUUCAAGAUAUUGGCAUUAAGCUUAUUACAAACACGGCGGCAACGCAAGCCCAUCUUUCUCUAAGCAAUAUACUUUGAGUUGCUUUUAGACUUAUUUCCUGAUGGAUAUUUGCCAUUAAUGCACUAUGACUUUUUCCUUUACCAAAAAAAACCGCUGUAGCCCAAGCUCAAAGAAAGUUGUAAUUUAAAAGACAGUUUCCACUGUGCUCAGCAUUCUCACAGUAAUAAUAGUUUGUCCUUUUUUCUUACUGCAGAUCCUGCAUCAAAUAUUUAUGUUGGUGUUUAUUUAGUAAACAAAGAAACCGAAUUAGGCUAACACAUGAAGCCUAGGAUGUGUUUUAAUAUCUGCAUUUGUGUCAUGUUGUGGCCUUUGUGCAAUUGAUUCAAAGGAAUGUAUUAAAUAAUAAAUAACUUUUUCUUAAA